UGCGGCUGGUCCUGAAGACCUUAUUUAUGCUGGUGUGUUGUGGUCUGUGCAUCCUCCUGCUCAAUUACUCAAGCAUUUAUUUUGGAAAUUUUUCAUCGGAUGAAUUCAUAGAUUACACUGAGUACAUUCCCAACUGCACUGAGAACGCCGCAGAACAGCAGAACAAUGAACACCUAGCGAAAACGGU
Molecule: long non-coding RNA, 187 nt
Organism: Physella acuta
Lineage: Eukaryota; Metazoa; Mollusca; Gastropoda; Physidae
Source: RefSeq, a predicted model, not a curated record